Long non-coding RNA from Brienomyrus brachyistius, 1415 nucleotides. RefSeq lists it as uncharacterized. NCBI's taxonomy places the organism in Eukaryota, Metazoa, Chordata, Actinopteri, Osteoglossiformes, Mormyridae. The record is from RefSeq and is a predicted model, not a curated record. The transcript is spliced from 3 exons.
UGGCCGCAAGCGUGGAAAAGUUUCAUAGUCUGCUCGUGUCAGCUUUUUUUAAUUACGAGGGGCAAAGCUGGCUUUCUUUUUGCUCGUCAGCUUCAUUUCAUCUCACAGUUCACUGGCUAACAAUGAGAAUACAAUCUGCUGCUGCCGUUCUGCAGGUUUCUGCUCCCAUAUCUAACGAGCCGAAUUAAGCGGUCUUUUGAAGCAGCACCUCUGAAGACGCGGUGACAAUGCUCCGUGCCUGUGACGAGAGGAGGCGCUCGGCUGUAAUGGACGCUUUAAGACUCGCCGUGACUCACUGGAUAAGUAGCUAUGGAAACAGGACAGAUGGACUGAUAAGAAGAGGAGUUUUAAGACCUUGUUCAAACUGUCAUGCAUAAUCCGUGCAGCAAACACCGAGACCGGCAGCCGGUACUGGGUUCCAGUAUGGGAACCUGCACGCCAUGCCCUGCAGGACACCGAACGUCUGUGGUGACCUCUCCGAAACCAGGCACACACCAGACUUACAAGAUUUUUACAGACAAUCCAUCAUCCAUGCAUUCUGUUUACUUUACUAUAUUUUUAUAUAUUUUCAUUAUGUUUCAUUUUCAUGCUCUCCACGCUUCACUUGACUUACAUGGGAACCGUAAUUUAAAGCAGGUGCAAAGUGCGUGUCUAAGAAUUGAUAAACACGAGCAGCUUUCUGUCGAAAUAUGACACCUUUUUAAUGGGUAAAUUUAUUAUACAGUUUUUGAUAAGACAAAAAUUCAGGUAUGAUACCUCAGUUGUAUUGACUGUCAUCUAUGUAAACCAGGGUAACAGUUUGAUGUAGUUCAGCCUGGUAGUGCAGGGGUUAAAAACCACAUGGGCAUUUGGGCAGGUUCAAAGAGAGCUCAACUCUCCUGUAUCCUUGACCAAGCGGAUCAGAACCUAAAUAAUUUAUAUUUUGAACAUUUCCCAUAAAACAAGUAAACGUAACAGAUGAUUACUGUGCAUUGAACCCCCCCCCCCCCAGUCUAAAACAUGCUGAAGUCAAUUGCCCACAUUUUUGAGUGUGCCCUGCAAAGGGUUGGUGUCCCAUCCUGACUUGUUCCCCCUGCCUUGUGCCUGUAGCCUCUGGGAUAGGCUCCAGACCCCUGUGACACCGAAUAGGACAAGAAAGUGGAUGGAUGGACUUGGGUAAUUCCUAAUCUUCUAUUCUCUACCCUGCAUGGUCAGGGAGACAGCCAUGGUUCUAGGUAAAGCUUACUGAAAAGUUCUCUCACAAUUUCAGGUACCAAUGAUUAGCAGCCACUGCUACUUUCUGUUGUCACGGGGAAUGUCUAUAUUUUUUCCAUCUAUGCUUUCGCAAUUUGGAAGCCUGGACCAAUCUGAGUCUGCAGAGCUGCUCACCAGACAAAAGAGGCAAAAAUAAAGAGCCUUGGAUGCGUGGGACAGAA